Molecule: ribosomal RNA, 730 nt
Filed under: Arthrobacter sp. SMCC B0625
Lineage: Bacteria; Bacillati; Actinomycetota; Actinomycetes; Micrococcales; Micrococcaceae
Description: bacterial SSU rRNA
Rfam family: Bacterial small subunit ribosomal RNA
Source: RNAcentral
AGUUUGAAUCAUGGCUCAGGAUGAACGCUGGCGGCGUGCUUAACACAUGCAAGUCGAACGAUGAUGCCCAGCUUGCUGGGUGGAUUAGUGGCGAACGGGUGAGUAUCACGUGAGCAACCUGCCCUUGACUCUGGGAUAAGCCUGGGAAACUGGGUCUAAUACCGGAUAGUACUUCCUGCCGCAUGGUGGGGGGUGGAAAGCCUUGUGCGGUCUUGGAUGGGCUCGCGGCCUAUCAGCUUGUUGGUGGGGUGAUGGCCUACCAAGGCGACGACGGGUAGCCGGCCUGAGAGGGUGACCGGCCACACUGGGACUGAGACACGGCCCAGACUCCUACGGGAGGCAGCAGUGGGGAAUAUUGCACAAUGGGCGGAAGCCUGAUGCAGCGACGCCGCGUGGGGGAUGACGGCCUUCGGGUUGUAAACCCCUUUCGGCAGGGAACAAGCCGUUUCGGCGGUGAGGGUACCUGCGGAAGAAGCGCCGGCUAACUACGUGCCAGCAGCCGCGGUAAUACGUAGGGCGCGAGCGUUAUCCGGAAUUAUUGGGCGUAAAGAGCUCGUAGGCGGUUUGUCGCGUCUGCUGUGAAAGCCCGGGGCUCAACCCCGGGUCUGCAGUGGGUACGGGCAGGCUGGAGUGCAGUAGGGGAGACUGGAAUUCCUGGUGUAGCGGUGAAAUGCGCAGAUAUCAGGAGGAACACCGAUGGCGAAGGCAGGUCUCUGGGCUGUUACUGACG